CUACGGGACGCUGCAGUGGGGAAUAUUGCACAAUGGGCGCAAGCCUGAUGCAGCCAUGCCGCGUGUAUGAAGAAGGCCUUCGGGUUGUAAAGUACUUUCAGCGGGGAGGAAGGGAGUAAAGUUAAUACCUUUGCUCAUUGACGUUACCCGCAGAAGAAGCACCGGCUAACUCCGUGCCAGCAGCCGCGGUAAUACGGAGGGUGCAAGCGUUAAUCGGAAUGACUGGGCGUAAAGCGCACGCAGGCGGUUUGUUAAGUCAGAUGUGACAUCCCCGGGCUCAACCUGGGAACUGCAUCUGAUACUGGCAAGCUUGAGUGUCGUAGAGGGGGGUAGAAUUCCAGGUGUAGCGGUGAAAUGCGUAGAGAUCUGGAGGAAUACCGGUGGCGAAGGCGGCCCCCUGGACGAAGACUGACGCUCAGGUGCGAAAGCGUGGGGAGCAAACAGGAUUAGAUACCCGUGUAGUC
Molecule: ribosomal RNA, 464 nt
Filed under: uncultured bacterium
Lineage: Bacteria
Description: partial 16S ribosomal RNA
Rfam family: Bacterial small subunit ribosomal RNA
Source: RNAcentral